UUCUCUACCCCAAUUCCCCUUCUCCCGUCUCUCACAUCCGAUUCUCCCCUUCCCCACCACGCCCCGCUCCUCCCACCGCUGCGAUCUGCCUCGCCGUCCCACCCCGCCCCCUUCUCCUUUCCCCAUUUCAACACCAGACUCUCCCUCCCUCGCUUCAAUUCGCCGCAGUCCGGCCCCAAGUCAGUGCCGCCGCCCCUUCCUGCACACACUUGCAUGUUAUUUUUCAAAUCUUUAAACCUGAAACCCUACUCAUCGGUCUCUCUCCCACCGCCAGCUCCUUCUCUCAACUGCCGCCCCAAACGACCGUGUCUUCAUGGACGGGCUCAUUCAUCACCCGAAGUCUAGCCAUCGGAGACAGCUGACGGCGACGCUCGGUUGCCCACGCCCUAAUUUCGUCCCCAAAUCCAUCCUCACCCCCGUCGCCGAUGGCCCGUUCCAAGCCCCAGGCUGCCCAACCCCAAUUUCGUUGCACUUCCGUUGAUUCGCCGCCGGUAUUCUCCAUGUUCCGAAAUUCGCCAUCGAGGAAUUCAAAGUGCCUCUCAACCAUCUGCUGACGGUUCGUUUGUGGUAGCUGCUUAUUUAUAGUAUUUUAAUAACUGAUGUUAUCAAUCCUUUGCCAGUAAAAAAUUGUGAUCUUAUAUGUGGUGAGAGUAGAAAUCACUGGUUACUUAUCAUGGUAUUUCUACAUGGAUAGAACAACUAACAAAUUCGCUGUAAAUUAUUUUAUGAGAUUCUGCACCUUUGAGAUGGUACAUUUUGUAAAUUAGUUGGUCUAGAUUCUCAUUGUACUCAUUUUCAAUCAUUUAUUAAUUUCUUUGUCUAUCA
Long non-coding RNA from Salvia miltiorrhiza (redroot sage), 825 nucleotides. RefSeq lists it as uncharacterized. Lineage: Eukaryota; Viridiplantae; Streptophyta; Magnoliopsida; Lamiales; Lamiaceae. The record is from RefSeq and is a predicted model, not a curated record. The transcript is spliced from 3 exons.